RNAcentral lists this ribosomal RNA (492 nucleotides) under uncultured bacterium. Its description in RNAcentral is "partial 16S ribosomal RNA". It matches the Rfam family "Bacterial small subunit ribosomal RNA", at positions 29 to 507 of the family's 1533-position model. The record is from RNAcentral.
AGUGAACGCUGGCGGUAGGCCUAACACAUGCAAGUCGAACGGCAGCACAGUAAGAGCUUGCUCUUACGGGUGGCGAGUGGCGGACGGGUGAGGAAUACAUCGGAAUCUACUUUUUCGUGGGGGAUAACGUAGGGAAACUUACGCUAAUACCGCAUACGACCUACGGGUGAAAGCAGUGGAUCUUCGGACCUUGCGCGUUUGAAUGAGCCGAUGUCGGAUUAGCUAGUUGGCGGGGUAAAGGCCCACCAAGGCGACGAUCCGUAGCUGGUCUGAGAGGAUGAUCAGCCACACUGGAACUGAGACACGGUCCAGACUCCUACGGGAGGCAGCAGUGGGGAAUAUUGGACAAUGGGCGCAAGCCUGAUCCAGCCAUACCGCGUGGGUGAAGAAGGCCUUCGGGUUGUAAAGCCCUUUUGUUGGGAAAGAAAAGCAGCAGGUUAAUACCCCGCUGUUCUGACGGUACCCAAAGAAUAAGCACCGGCUAACUUCGUG